This 301-nucleotide ribosomal RNA is filed under the name uncultured bacterium. RNAcentral describes it as "partial 16S ribosomal RNA". It matches the Rfam family "Bacterial small subunit ribosomal RNA", at positions 509 to 807 of the family's 1533-position model. The record is from RNAcentral.
CAGCAGCCGCGGUAAUACGUAGGGUGCGAGCGUUAAUCAGAAUUACUGGGCGUAAAGCGUGCGCAGGCGGUUUGUUAAGACAGAUGUGAAAUCCCCGGGCUUAACCUGGGAACUGCAUUUGUGACUGGCAAGCUAGAGUAUGGCAGAGGGAGGUGGAAUUCCGCGUGUAGCAGUGAAAUGCGUAGAGAUGCGGAGGAACACCGAUGGCGAAGGCAGCCUCCUGGGCCAAUACUGACGCUCAUGCACGAAAGCGUGGGGAGCAAACAGGAUUAGAUACCCCCGUAGUCCCUGUCUCUUAUAC